GACGAACGCUGGCGGCGUGCUUAACACAUGCAAGUCGAACGAAGAGCGAUGGAAGCUUGCUUCUAUCAAUCUUAGUGGCGAACGGGUGAGUAACGCGUAAUCAACCUGCCCUUCAGAGGGGGACAACAGUUGGAAACGACUGCUAAUACCGCAUACGAUCUAAUCUCGGCAUCGAGGAUAGAUGAAAGGCGGCCUCUACAUGUAAGCUAUCACUGAAGGGGGGGAUUGCGUCUGAUUAGCUAGUUGGGGGGGUAACGGCCCACCAAGGCGAUGAUCAGUAGCCGGUCUGAGAGGAUGAACGGCCACAUUGGGACUGAGACACGGCCCAGACUCCUACGGGAGGCAGCAGUGGGGAAUCUUCCGCAAUGGACGAAAGUCUGACGGAGCAACGCCGCGUGAGUGAUGACGGCCUUCGGGUUGUAAAGCUCUGUUAAUCGGGACGAAAGGCCUUCUUGCGAAUAGUGAGAAGGAUUGACGGUACCGGAAUAGAAAGCCACGGCUAACUACGUG
This 510-nucleotide ribosomal RNA is filed under the name uncultured bacterium. RNAcentral describes it as "partial 16S ribosomal RNA". It matches the Rfam family "Bacterial small subunit ribosomal RNA", at positions 28 to 507 of the family's 1533-position model. The record is from RNAcentral.